AUUACUAACCGUGCAAAGGUAGCAUAAUCAUUAGAUUUUUAAUUGGAGUCUUGUAUGAAUGGUUGGACAAAAGGAAUACUGUCUUUAUAUUAAAAUUGAAUUUAACUUUUAAGUGAAAAGGCUUAAAUAAUCUAAAGGGACGAUAAGACCCUAUAAAGCUUUAUAUUAUAAUUAUAUUUUAUUGAGUUUAUAAAUAAAUUUUUAAUUUAAUUAUUUAUUGUGUUGGGGAGAUAUAAAUAUAAUUUAUAUUAACUGUAAGAUUAUAAAACAAAUAUUAAUGAAUAUUUGGAGAUCCUUUAUUUAAAGAUUAAAAGAUUAAGUUACUUUAGGGAUAACAGCGUUAUUUUUUUUAAGAGUUCAUAUCGACAAAAAAGUUUGCGACCUCGAUGUUGAAUUAAAAUUUCUAUAUAAUGAAGGGAUUAUAUAAGAAGGUCUGUUCGACCUUUAAA
RNAcentral lists this ribosomal RNA (449 nucleotides) under Louisea nkongsamba. Its description in RNAcentral is "partial large subunit ribosomal RNA". The stretch from base 331 to 449 matches the Rfam family "Bacterial large subunit ribosomal RNA", at positions 2473 to 2592 of the family's 2925-position model. Lineage: Eukaryota; Metazoa; Arthropoda; Malacostraca; Decapoda; Potamonautidae. The record is from RNAcentral.